Molecule: long non-coding RNA, 662 nt
Organism: Hylaeus volcanicus
Lineage: Eukaryota; Metazoa; Arthropoda; Insecta; Hymenoptera; Colletidae
Exons: 3
Source: RefSeq, a predicted model, not a curated record
CGUUCAAGGUUCUAGAGGCGUAUGCGAUAGGGAGAUCCUUUCCUACUAGUCCCUGGCUCAAGAUGGCACCUACCACAAUGUCGGAGGCGUCGGUGGUAACAAAAAAUGGUUGUGAAAAGUUGGGAAAUUGCAGCAGGGGUUCUGAACAAAUAGCGUCUCUUAAAAUUUCGGAAGAAGUUUGGACAUCCGAGGUCCAACGAAAAGGUAAUUCGUCAAUUGUGUAAAUGGCAUGAUGGGGAACAUUACCUGCCUUUAAUCUAUCACUAGGUGACCUAAUUCAAGAAACCUAAGAAUUUCACUGAGCCUUCGAGCGUGGUCCUCCGAUUUGUCCGCGGCCGGAUUUCCUGUACGAGAAGAACGGGGUGCAGGAGGUCGCGAAUCAAAUUCCUCUAGAUCGACAGGGGGAAUUGUAAUAGUAACGUGGUCGCAAGUUGUAUUAAUUGCAUAUAGUUUGAUCAGGCCAUUUUGUUGGCUGGCCAGAAUAUCACCUACGAAAAUGCCAGAUCCGGCAUCAAUCCGUUUAACGUAGUUCCACUCAUUAUUGUUCCCAGCGGGGACCGAGAUCAAAACUUUGGUUCGCGGGGGUAAGACGUGUGAUGAAAAGGUGGACGCAAACAAAUUCUUUUUUUCAAAAGACAGAAUACAUGGAAAAUUCUCUUUAA